CCUCCUCCCACCAGGCUCCUCCCACCAGGCUCCUCCAAUCAGCACCAGUCCUGCUCAUCUCUCUGACAGCAACUCUUCUUCUACAUCUCCACCAGUGUGUGAACACGAACAUGACAGAAGAAAAUGAUCACACGCUGGGAACAGUCCACUUCAAUCAAUCCAAGAAGCUUCUGCCAACAAGGUGAACAGUCCCCCCUGUGAACCUGGAGGAAUGCUUUGUCCCGGUGACUGUGGGAUCUCACAUCUGAAGAAGUGGAGAAGCCACUAGGAGACUCUUCAGUAACCCGUGGGGGGGGCAGACUCACAGUCCUCGUCUCAUGCAACAUGAGCGACUCGUCCCCACAGAGGCGGUCCAGUCCACUGACCUUUCACCUGCAGCGGACGAGAUGUUGGCAGAUGAAUCAUUCUGCUUCCAUUUGUCAUGAGAGACGAGGAGCUCUGUUUCAAGAUUCAAGAUUCAAGAUGUUGUAUUUGUCACAUACACACACAGGGUGUGCAGUGAAAUGAAAGUGGCAAUGCUCAGCAGGAAUGUGCAAGGGCAACAAGUACACACUAUUUACAAAUAAAAAACAACACAAUAUUUACAGUAAGUGUGUGUGUGUGUGUGUGUGUGUGUGUGUGUGUGUGUGUGUGUGCCUAAGAGGGGCAGUUGUGUGGGUCUAUGUGGGGGUCCUGGUGAGGUCGGAGUUCACAAUCCUGAUGGCCUGAGGAAAGAAACUCCGUCUCAGUCUCUCUGUUCUUGCAGCGUGACUACGGAGGCGCCUGCCUGACCGCAGCAGCUGAAACAGUCUGUUGUUGGGGUGGUGAGGAUCCUUCAUGAUGUUGUCUGAAAACGAGCGGGCCUUUAAUUGGAUGAAGAUUAGUUUGAAACGUGCUAC
This is a long non-coding RNA of Pseudoliparis swirei, 878 nucleotides long. RefSeq lists it as uncharacterized. The record is from RefSeq and is a predicted model, not a curated record. The transcript has 4 exons. Lineage: Eukaryota; Metazoa; Chordata; Actinopteri; Perciformes; Liparidae.